CCGCUGCGGCCGCGCGUGCGCACAACCGGCGGGGCCGGGGGCGGGCGCCAAGGCUGGUAUGGCGGCGCCGCGGCCCUGCGCCGAUAGCCCGUGCUGCUCUCAUGCGGGUGUGGCGUCCGGUGUGCAACAGACGCUGGAGGAGAUGGACUUCGACAGGGGAAUCUGGUCAGCAGCCCUGAAUGGAGACCUAGGUCGAGUGAAAUAUUUAAUCCAGAAGGCAACAGACCCUAGCCAGCCUGACUCAGCUGGCUACACUGCUCUGCACUAUGCCAGCCGCAACGGGCACUAUGCUGUAUGCCAGUUCCUGCUGGAAAGUGGGGCUAAGUGUGAUGCCCAAACCCAUGGGGGCGCCACUGCUCUGCACCGGGCAAGCUACUGUGGGCACACUGAAAUUGCACGGCUCCUGCUGUCUCAUGGGUCCAACCCCAGGUUGGUAGAUGACGAUGGCAUGACCAGUUUGCAUAAGGCUGCUGAGAAGGGUCACGUGGACAUUUGCUCUCUCCUGUUGCAACACAGCCCAGCCCUGAAAGCUGUCCGGGAUCGCAAGGCACGACUGGCAUGUGAUCUGCUGCCCUGCGACAGUGACCUACGGGACCUGCUGGCCAGCUGAACUGCCACCCUUCUGCUGUCUUAGGCUGCCAUGCAAGGGUAUGUGGAGAAAGAGUUGAAAGGAAAGCGUUGGGAUGUGGACAUGGCGUUGCUGAUUGUGGAGGCGGGCCCAGAGCCUGGAGGCUGGGAGCCCAAGAGGCCGUGGCCCGGGAGCAGUGGAAACUCGAAGAAGAGAAGAAGAAGAAAGUGAGCAGUGCUGGGGGCCCAGCGGGUGCCAACGCCAAGGCUUGAGAGAUUGAACAACUCCAGACUGAAUCUGGAGACUCUGGCUGACUUGGAAAACUUGGUUCAAAGACGGAGAAAACGACUGAAACGCAGAGUCCCC
Felis catus (domestic cat) is the source of this 934-nucleotide RNA transcript. It is a transcript of the gene named ankyrin repeat domain 39, with no coding region annotated. The record is from RefSeq and is a predicted model, not a curated record. The transcript is spliced from 6 exons. NCBI's taxonomy places the organism in Eukaryota, Metazoa, Chordata, Mammalia, Carnivora, Felidae.